RNAcentral lists this ribosomal RNA (251 nucleotides) under uncultured prokaryote. RNAcentral's name for it is "partial 16S rRNA". It matches the Rfam family "Bacterial small subunit ribosomal RNA", at positions 525 to 775 of the family's 1533-position model. The record is from RNAcentral.
ACGGGGGGUGCAAGCGUUGUUCGGAAUCAUUGGGCGUAAAGAGCGUGUAGGCGGCUGAGUAAGUCAGAUGUGAAAUCCCUGGGCUUAACCCAGGAAGUGCAUUGGAAACUGUUCAGCUUGAGUAAGGAAGAGGGAAGAGGAAUGCCAGGUGUAGAAGUGAAAUUCGUAGAUAUCAGGAGGAACACCGGUGGCGAAGGCGACUUCCUGGUCCUGUACUGACGCUGAGACACGAGAGCGUGGGGAGCAAACAG